RNAcentral lists this ribosomal RNA (425 nucleotides) under uncultured bacterium. RNAcentral describes it as "bacterial SSU rRNA". It matches the Rfam family "Bacterial small subunit ribosomal RNA", at positions 917 to 1344 of the family's 1533-position model. The record is from RNAcentral.
GGACCCGCACAAGUAGUGGAGCAUGUGGUUUAAUUCGAAGAUACGCGCAGAACCUUACCUACUCUUGACAUACUUGGAAGCUCUUGUAAUGAGAGUGUGCCUUUGGAACCAAGAUACAGGUGCUGCAUGGCUGUCGUCAGCUCGUGUCGUGAGAUGUUCCGUUAAGUCGGAUAACGAGCGCAACCCUUACCCUUAUUUGCCAGCGAUUCGGUCGGGAACUAUAAGGGGACUGCCGGUGAUAAACCGGAGGAAGGUGAGGACGACGUCAAGUCAUCAUGGCCCUUACGAGUAGGGCUACACACGUGCUACAAUGGGGAAUACAGACGGACGCUAAGCCGCGAGGUGGUGCUAAUCCUAGAAAGUUUCUCGUAGUCCGGAUUGGAGUCUGCAACUCGACUCCAUGAAGUCGGAAUCGCUAGUAAUCG